RNAcentral lists this ribosomal RNA (371 nucleotides) under uncultured bacterium. Its description in RNAcentral is "bacterial SSU rRNA". It matches the Rfam family "Bacterial small subunit ribosomal RNA", at positions 527 to 896 of the family's 1533-position model. The record is from RNAcentral.
GGAGGGCGCGAGCGUUGUUCGGAAUUACUGGGCGUAAAGCGCACGCAGGCGGUCUCUUAAGUCCACUGUUAAAUCACGGGGCUCAACCCCGGCGGUGCAGUGGAUACUGAGGGACUGGAGACCGGUAGAGGCUAGCGGAAUUCCUGGUGUAGCGGUGGAAUGCGUAGAUAUCAGGAGGAACACCGGUGGCGAAGGCGGCUAGCUGGGCCGGUUCUGACGCUCAUGUGCGAAAGCGUGGGGAGCAAACAGGAUUAGAUACCCUGGUAGUCCACGCCGUAAACGAUGGGCACUAGAUGCCGGGCCCUUCGACGGGUUCGGUGUCGUAGCUAACGCAUUAAGUGCCCCGCCUGGGGAGUACGGCCGCAAGGCUG